AGCUCUAGUCCAAGCGCCUGACAACCCGCUUCGCGGAAAAACUGAAAGCCAGGGCUUUGAGGGCUCCUCCCAAGACGCACAGGGGAGAAAUUAGAAAAUCCGUCCAACGAUGCAGCCAGCCCACCCCGCCGCAGAGCUCGCCCACGCACGGGACAGCGGAGAGCAAGAGCCAGGUGAGGACGCGGAAGUAGCUCUUCCUCCCCGCCUAGACCUGUUGGCCGGAGCAGGUCUCCUGCAAAUCGCACACCCACGCGCGCGCACCCUUCCCCGGGCCCAGCGCGCACACACCCACCCGUGCACGUACACGGACGCACGAGCCACUGUCAAACGGGUCACAGCCCCGGAAAAGACGGAGCGUGCAAGCCUCUAAAACUUACUGAAGGGGGGAGGGGCACAUGCUUACAGGCCCGGGCCCGUCGCGGUCUCCUGCCAAGCUGAAACCCGAGCGGGGCGCGGCGGCGGCUGAGCGGCCGUAGACGCUCGGGGAGGCGGCGGCUAGUCCCGAACUUUAAACAACUGCCGCGGAAGCAGGGCGUCUCCACCCAGCCGCACCUGUUCCCGACCGUGGGGGCCGAGCCCCGCACAUCCCUGCUGACCUUGAGAACAUCCCGGAAAUCCAAACUCCACCCCCAGGUCAGCGUUCCUCCGACCCCCUUCCCAUCGGUAACUGAAGCCUUCCUGGUACCCACGCGGAGGGGCCGCUUCCAGCCGCCCCCCCCCGCAAAUUAAGAACGCGCUUCCCUGGGGUCUCUGCAGAUCCUUCGAGCAUCUCACUUCUCCCGUUGCUUAUCUCCCCUUGCCCACCCUAGCCAUCAGCCCCUUACAGCAGGUUGGGUCCCCUUCUCUCCAUCCCGAGAGUGCUAACAUCCCCUAAGUGCGGGCUUCCCCCACUGGUGCGCUGGAGCUAAAGGAAGCCUUAGAGGAACGCCCUUGCGAGCUGCUUUGCAGAGCGGCUGGAGCGGGGUCCACGGGCAGGAGAGGGGGCGGCAGCAGGGCUGUCCCCCACGCCCCGGGCCCCACACUGGCAGCAACCAUCCCCGCCCCCACAACGGACCGGAAAAC
Long non-coding RNA from Mustela erminea (ermine), 1062 nucleotides. RefSeq lists it as uncharacterized. The transcript has 2 exons. Lineage: Eukaryota; Metazoa; Chordata; Mammalia; Carnivora; Mustelidae. The record is from RefSeq and is a predicted model, not a curated record.